AACGAUUUAAAUACAUUAUUUUGGUGUAAUUUAUUAUCAAACUGCAGCCUCUCCCCUGUUUGUGUCUGGUCUGAGCUCUUCCACACACACACACACACACACACACACACACACACAGCAAAGUCAGCAGAUCAGAGAGGCCGUAGCGCGUUACUCGAGACAACUAUGCUCAUUGCUGUAAAGAGUGGAGUCAGGUGUGUUGGAGUUGGGACACCAGCUGCCAAUCAUCAGCAAUCUGCUCUGCUUCUUAUACGUGGUUCCCACCUCAACCCACCGCCAGAUUGUAGACUAUGCUAAAACGUCAGUCUUGGCCCGGUCUGAUCAAGUCUACUCUAUUUGAUUUUUGCAACCUUGCUUACCCCUGUUUGCUGUGCCGUGCAGUCUUUUCACCUGGACCCGACUACUGCCUCUUCGCUACCCCUUUUUCCUGCCUGGACUCUGCACCUCUAUCCCUGGAUAACCUGAUACACUGUUGGAUCGGAAUUCCCUUGCCAGAUCUCUGGACUCCCUCCGUCUGACUUCACUACCUGUUCCUUUGCCUGGCUCGGCUUACUCCUACUGUUGGAAACACUUGACUUUCCCAAGUCCCACAGACCCUUGCCCCAACACACAUCUAAGUAUUAUAAAUCCUUGUCUAUUCAAGUACUUGCUCUGUGUACCGUGUUCUGCAUUUGGGUUCUAAAUGAAGUCUGGCUUUAACACCUUGUUCUUUUUAUAAACAUUUAUGUAUAUGGCAAUUUUCUGUAUCACUAAGAGUAGUAGUCAUUAAAAAACCAAAUGACA
Long non-coding RNA from Micropterus dolomieu (smallmouth bass), 783 nucleotides. RefSeq lists it as uncharacterized. The record is from RefSeq and is a predicted model, not a curated record. NCBI's taxonomy places the organism in Eukaryota, Metazoa, Chordata, Actinopteri, Centrarchiformes, Centrarchidae. The transcript has 2 exons.